Molecule: long non-coding RNA, 533 nt
Filed under: Phascolarctos cinereus (koala)
Lineage: Eukaryota; Metazoa; Chordata; Mammalia; Diprotodontia; Phascolarctidae
Description: lncRNA (ENSPCIG00000033483.1)
Source: RNAcentral
GUGUGAGCGGGCAGGGAAAAGGGGAGGAGGGGAAAGGGGAAGAGGGGGAGGCAACUGAACUACGUUUCCCAGAAAGCCUUGCCUCAUCCUGGCCCCUUUUUCCUCUAGGAUUUUGGGCGGGUUGAUAUGGAAACGAAGAGGGCGAGGCCUGUGGAAGUCGGGGUUCUUUGCAUGCGCUCUACGACGUCACUUCCUUUUCUUGCUCUGUGACCUUGUUCUGCUUCGGAGGUGUGUGCGGAAGGGGUCAGAGCUCUGCCUUUGGAAGCUUCUGUUCGCCCCCAACAGGUGUGAGCUCAGCCAGACUCUAUGGCCCUCCUGGUCCUCAAGGCUAAGACCCACCAGCUGAGGGUCUUCUGAAGAGACAUGCCUGUCCUGGCUGAAGAGAUAAAAUGGGAGAAGACUCAGGAAAAAAAUGAGGAGAAGCUUCAUUCCUAAGAGAAUGGAUAUUAAAUCUCCUACCUCUCUACCCCACCCCUCACCCCCUGGAUUGUGGCAAGAAUAAAAUAAGAUAACAUCUGUAAGGGCUUUGUAAA